This 209-nucleotide ribosomal RNA is filed under the name uncultured bacterium. Its description in RNAcentral is "partial 16S ribosomal RNA". It matches the Rfam family "Bacterial small subunit ribosomal RNA", at positions 1284 to 1500 of the family's 1533-position model. The record is from RNAcentral.
UGUCUCAGUUCGGAUUGGAGGCUGAAACCCGCCUCCAUGAAGUUGGAUUCGCUAGUAAUCGCGCAUCAGCCAUGGCGCGGUGAAUACGUUCCCGGGCCUUGUACACACCGCCCGUCAAGCCAUGGAAGCUGGGGGUGCCUGAAGUUCGUGACCGGAAGGAGCGACCUAGGGCAAAACCGGUGACUGGGGCUAAGUCGUAACAAGGUACC